UUUCUAAAACAGUAAGCGAGUUCAAAUCAAAUUGGGAACCUGGAAAUCAAAUAGGUAAAAUGAUAAAGGCAGUGAUAGCGAUGAACACCCAGAGGAAGCCUCGGCUCACUAAAUUCUACGAUUUCCAGCUUCAAACUUACUUUUGCAAUUUGUUCACCGGUCGAAAUUAAAGCCUCCAGACAAGCAGCAGGAGCUGAUUCGUAUUCUCUACCUAGGUAAUUUCAAAGUUCGUAGUUUGCAGUUUUUGAAGCAACUUCAAUGGUGGCUGCGAAUUCGCCCAGUUCGUAAUUUUCUAUCCUAAUCAGUGGAAUUUGGAGAGGUACUUGAUGCUAGCAGUAGGUCACAACAAAGCAGAAGUGAAAAGAAGAGCCGAUCGAUAAGCUAUUUAGAAGUUGGGGAUGAAGCCUAUAACGGGUGUCAGCAGUCUUUGUGAAGAAUAGUCGUUGUGUAGAGUUC
Spinacia oleracea (spinach) is the source of this 456-nucleotide long non-coding RNA. RefSeq lists it as uncharacterized. The transcript has 4 exons. NCBI's taxonomy places the organism in Eukaryota, Viridiplantae, Streptophyta, Magnoliopsida, Caryophyllales, Amaranthaceae. The record is from RefSeq and is a predicted model, not a curated record.